GGACGUGGAUGCGUUGUUGAAUAAAUGAUGUGACGAAGAGUAUCAGGAGUAUGCUGACCAUAUGAAGCAAUUACGAGCAUUGCAAAAUACUCCUCAUUGCACGGGGACCAAAAGCUAUGCGAGGUUGUCACACGAAGAAACUGUCAAGGAUGGCACUCCUCCUACGCGAGCACAAGCGUACAUAAAAACUCACACGAAGAAGGAUGGAAGCUAUCCAAAUGAUAUAGUAAAAGAGAGAUGUGAAAGGAUGGUGAUGCUAAUGCCAACCGAUUCUGCCGAUUCGUCAAGCGUAACACAAGGAACGGUACGUUGGAGACAUGACGAUGC
Alnus glutinosa is the source of this 327-nucleotide long non-coding RNA. RefSeq lists it as uncharacterized. The transcript has 4 exons. The record is from RefSeq and is a predicted model, not a curated record. NCBI's taxonomy places the organism in Eukaryota, Viridiplantae, Streptophyta, Magnoliopsida, Fagales, Betulaceae.